Long non-coding RNA from Saccostrea cuccullata (small rock oyster), 351 nucleotides. RefSeq lists it as uncharacterized. NCBI's taxonomy places the organism in Eukaryota, Metazoa, Mollusca, Bivalvia, Ostreida, Ostreidae. The transcript has 3 exons. The record is from RefSeq and is a predicted model, not a curated record.
ACUUUUCGGAAUUGAAAAAAAAUAUUUUUAACCCCGCUCAAAUUAUCCGGAUGAUAAUAGUUUCACCGAGCAUGGUUUCGUAGUUAAAUUCAGACCGUAGAACAUCCGGUUUGAAUACAUGUGUUUUCUGACUUUUCGGAUAGCCAACUCUUGUUUUUUGGAACUUACGACUUACGGCAAGAGAGAAGAAAACUGUGUGACUUUAAAAGAAAACCAGUGAGAUGAAAUUAUAGAAAAUGUAUGAUGAUUCAGGAUGUGGUCAUUUGUGACAUUAAAACAGGAAUUGUCAUCACCAAUAGACGAAUUUCACAUUCCUAAGAGUUUCCUCCAAUUGUCGACGUAUCGCUCAUU